UAGCAACGUGAGCGUCCUGCAGCAGU
This 26-nucleotide non-coding RNA is filed under the name Mus musculus (house mouse). The record is from RNAcentral. Lineage: Eukaryota; Metazoa; Chordata; Mammalia; Rodentia; Muridae.